GGAGUUAAUCUGCUGAUUUUGCAAUGUGUAUAUGCAAAUUAGUUUUUUUAGAGAUUCCCGAAUGUUAGCAUUUUGUUUUCCUUCCCCAAAGUUCUACCAAAAAGCAAGGUUUUGUGUUUGUUUUGUUUGUUUACCUGUUUUUUUGCUUAACUGUGCUCUGAAUUCUCCUGUACUGAAGUCUAAACUGUUUUUAGUAGCUCCUGUGGGGUUCACCACACUCGGAUGGACUCAGUCCAGACAGACUGGGAGACCACACCUAGGGCCUUGGGCUCAGAGCUUCUGGUUCUGAUGAUGACAUGCCUCUGCGCUGGUCCUGCACUCUACGUGAAACUGUGCCUCUGAUCCUGAGACUAGAUCCCAGAACACACCGUCCGGCCAGCCCUGUGUUGCGGGGAAGGCACUCCAGGGAUGGUGCAUGCUGAGUAGUCGAACACUUCACAGGCGACAAGUACAGCUGAUGCUUCUCACUCUUGCCUUAGCACCCCUGAGCCACCGUUGACAGUCACUGGCGAGUUGUGUAGCUGAGCCUGUAAACACAGCUUGUGUGGCAGGCAGUCAUUUCUACAUUUGCAUAAACUCUACAUGGUAACCUUUCCUUUGGGCACAGAUCUGCUGUCAGGUGCUUCAUAAAUACAAGUGAACUUAGGCUGAGAAGAUUGGGCAGGUUCUUUUGGAUGAGUGCAUAACCCACCAAUAGAUUCCAUGAGACAUGGAUAAACCUCUCUUGUAGCACACUAUUUAAAAAAGUAACUUUCUGGGCCCAGUUGUGUGUACUGCUGUACACGCAAUAUCUAAUAGGAAAUUAAAGUUCGGCCUGUUUAACUUUGUCUUCACGUUUUCUGAGACCUCUGCCCUCCUGCUCCUGAAGUCUUAAAGUCAUUUUCAUCUGCAGGGUCUCUGAGCACAGGCCUUGACUAUAGUGAUGAACGUGUGGGGUGUUGAACUGUUUAUCUUCCAAGGAGGGACCAGACCAGUGUGACUUAAGAUGCUGCAGUUGUGUUACUGUGAAGGAAACUUCCACUUUCAGCAAGCUCUGUGUGUGUGUGUGUGUGUGUGUGUGUGUGUGUGUGUGUGUGUGUUCAUUUUGGCUUUUUAAAAAUGUUGAAAAUUGAGGAGAACAUGAUUUCCUUCACAAAUUAUUUAUAGAUACACUGGGCAUGAUGCUUACUGUAGGCAAGCACCAGGGAAGCAUGAGUUCAGUGCUUCGUCGUGUAAUAUGUUGUCUAUGACCCAGCCAGCAUUCUGCUGGGCACUGUGUCCGAUAACUGUAAACCACCUGGUUUAUAAUGCUAGUGGGAACCGAUUUGUUUUAUAACGGAAUACAGAGCAGACAUAUAACAGGAUCAGGAUUAUCCCACGCUUGUAAAUAAGAAUGGGGCCUGUUUAUUUUGACAUCUUUUUACAAAUGCAUUGUAUUAGGAUGUGAAUAUUCCAAAACACGCUCUUGUUUAAAGUUUUGAAAUUUUUAUUGUUAAAUGUAACAUUUUGAUGGUUGUAAUAAUUAUUUGUAUAGAUAUGAAUAUAGUAUUUUAUUUAAGAAAAUAAACUUUGCAAUUUUUGCAUUG
This is a long non-coding RNA of Rattus norvegicus (Norway rat), 1565 nucleotides long. Lineage: Eukaryota; Metazoa; Chordata; Mammalia; Rodentia; Muridae. The record is from Ensembl.